This is a long non-coding RNA of Myodes glareolus (Bank vole), 1531 nucleotides long. RefSeq lists it as uncharacterized. The record is from RefSeq and is a predicted model, not a curated record. Lineage: Eukaryota; Metazoa; Chordata; Mammalia; Rodentia; Cricetidae.
UCUUGCUGCGUCACCGCAUUGGCUGCACUGGCUCUGAGAUGUGGGCUCUGGACUGAGCAGGGCUCCUGGCUUCAAGGCUUCUCAUCGAUGAGCUCCAACCCCCUAGUGAGUCCUCUCAUCCAUCUGUCUUCUUACACAACUUCCUGAUGCCGUCCCUGAAGAACUGUAAUUGAAGGCAGAGACUCCAUUUAUUUCCUCCCACUACUCAGUCAACUCCCUCCAACAAGACCAUGCCUUGCUAUAGUACCAGGGACUGCUCAGAGUGGAGCGCCUUUUAGCAAAUGAUGGAACGCUGAAAAUAGAUCUGAAGGGAAGGCAUCUUCUGAAUAUGCCGAGUUCCAGCUGGCAGGAUGCAAUGUUUUUUCUCCUGCCUCCGUUGUCAUCUUUGGUACCCAAUGCCUGACUACACAAACAAAUCAGCUGGAGUUAAUGCCCUGCCUCCCUCUCUAGCGUCUGGUCUGUCUUGUCUGCUCACCACCUGGCCCUGCCACAUCUAAGCUCAUUAACCCACUGGCAGCAAGGAGGCCAAUGGAAGCAAGAGAACAAAGGAGAAGCCAAGAGGGCUCUACAGACAGACAAGCCUGUGGCUCUGAUGCCUGGGUUCACCCUCUCUCUAUCAGAGACACUGCGCACCAACCACUUAGCCUCUGGAGUAUAGUGAGCAUGUCUUCACAUGUAAUUAUCAGUAAUUUUGUAAGGGGAACACCUUGAAUCCUGCUUAUUCAAGUCAAUACACAACCUAUUUCAGUUAUUGCCAUCAGGUUGUAUUGUUAUUCUGUAUGUGACCUCAUAUAACAUCAUGUCAUAGCAUAUCCCUCAGACCAGAUAUAUAAGAUUGCAGAGCAAUUUUACAUAUAGUAGUGUUGUACAUAGACAGUCAUGUAUGGAUUGAUUGUACACAUCAUCUAAUCUUUGCCAGUGGGCAUUUUGGCCAAAGUCACAUGUUCCUCUGAGUCAGACCUGACCUUUGGUUUUUUUCUCCUGUGCACACAGAAAGUACAACCCAAUGCUAUACUUGUCCUUCCCCCUAAACAAUGUUCAGUCUGUAACAGCUGACCUCCUUCCCGUUCGGGAGAGGCCCUCUGAGUUCUGAGUCCUUCUGUGAGCUUUCCCUGAAAGAUUAUCAGUCUCAUCUACCGACCUGACUGCCCCCCUUCCUCCACAGCACUCCCGACUCUCACUUACGUCCACAUACUGAGAUGAACCUCUGUUUGAAUCAUGGACGUUUCGGUUAUUACAGCUCAAGGAUGGGCCAGAGUUAGUGUGAAAGCAUGUCUUCCUCCCUGCUCCAAGGUGGCUGAGGCCAGGGCAUCAUCAUGGAAAGGUUGGGGUUUUCUAGCAGCCUUAGGGCCUGGCUUCACUCUGAGGAGGGAAGGAAUGUGCAACCUUGGCAGAGAAAAUUUGGUAGAGGGGUAUAACUCUGGGCCUUAGUCUUGUAACGAACACUGUUGAUUGGCACCUCCCCUUUCCAUCCUGUCCUCUAGGCUGUAGAAUCCCCAGAGCAGCCACUCAAGAAAGGAGGAGCCCUUCU